This 450-nucleotide ribosomal RNA is filed under the name uncultured bacterium. RNAcentral's name for it is "partial 16S ribosomal RNA". It matches the Rfam family "Bacterial small subunit ribosomal RNA", at positions 354 to 796 of the family's 1533-position model. The record is from RNAcentral.
GUGGGGAAUAUUGGACAAUGGGCGAAAGCCUGAUCCAGCCAUGCCGCGUGUGUGAAGAAGGUCUUCGGAUUGUAAAGCACUUUAAGUUGGGAGGAAGGGCAGUAAGUUAAUACCUUGCUGUUUUGACGUUACCGACAGAAUAAGCACCGGCUAACUUCGUGCCAGCAGCCGCGGUAAUACGAAGGGUGCAAGCGUUAAUCGGAAUUACUGGGCGUAAAGCGCGCGUAGGUGGUUUUGUAAGUUGGAGGUGAAAUCCCCGGGCUCAACCUGGGAACAGCCUCCAAAACUGCAUUACUAGAUUACGGUAGAGGGUAGUGGAAUUUCCUGUGUAGCGGUGAAAUGCGUAGAUAUAGGAAGGAACACCAGUGGCGAAGGCGACUACCUUGACUGAUACUGAUACUGAGGUGCGAAAGCGUGGGGAGCAAACAGGAUUAGAUACCCGAGUAGUCC